RNAcentral lists this ribosomal RNA (516 nucleotides) under Triticum aestivum (bread wheat). RNAcentral describes it as "partial small subunit ribosomal RNA". Lineage: Eukaryota; Viridiplantae; Streptophyta; Magnoliopsida; Poales; Poaceae. The record is from RNAcentral.
CUGGGUCAUGUUACUGCUAGAUGUCCUCAAGCUAUCUGCGGUAGAUGUAAGAAGAAAGGGCAUCUUGUCGUAGUUUGUUUUGAAUUUCUCCCUUGGGAAUAUGUGCCUGCGAUGUGUGCUUUUCAAGCCAAGGGGCAAGGAUUUCAUUACAUUCCUAAUUUUAGCAUAGAUAGACAGGCCAGAGAGAACAUUUUCAACAUUGUCGUUACCAUUGUAGAGGGCUCUGCUCCUACAAAGGAUAUUGAACAUGAGCUUAGUGUUUAUGUGGGGCAAGGGUGGCAUUGUUCUGCUAGGUUUUUUGCACCUCAGAUGUUCGUGAUGAGGAUGCCUAACCCUAGGGAGGUGGAUUGGGCUCUGUUUGUGGAGAAUGUGAGGCUCAAGCUAUGCAAAGUGAGUGUUAGGUUUUCUCCCUGGUCUGAGGACAUUGACUCUGAUGGAUUACUGGAGGUCGCCUGGGUGAGAAUUGGGAGAAUUCCUAUUAACAAAAGAUGUGAUAAGAUUGUUGCUUAUGUUGGG